AAAAAGCUUCAAACUGGGAUUAGAUACCCCACUAUGCUCAGCCGUAAACUUAGACAUCCAACUACAAUUAGAUGUCCGCCAGGGUACUACGAGCAUUAGCUUAAAACCCAAAGGACCUGACGGUGUCUCAGAUCCCCCUAGAGGAGCCUGUUCUAGAACCGAUAACCCCCGUUUAACCUCACCACUUCUAGCCACCCCAGCCUAUAUACCGCCGUCGUCAGCUUACCCUGUGAAGGACAUAAAAGUAAGCAAAAUGGGUACAACCCAGAACGUCAGGUCGAGGUGUAGCGCAUGAAAUGGAAAGAAAUGGGCUACAUUUUCUACCACAGAAUAUUACGAACAUGUACCAUGAAAUAGUGCUUGAAGGAGGAUUUAGUAGUAAAAGGGAAAUAGAGUGUCCCUUUGAACCCGGCUCUGAGACGCGUACACACCGCCCGUCACCCUCUGCAGUCAA
RNAcentral lists this ribosomal RNA (454 nucleotides) under Poropuntius huangchuchieni. RNAcentral's name for it is "partial 12S ribosomal RNA". It matches the Rfam family "Bacterial small subunit ribosomal RNA", at positions 754 to 1414 of the family's 1533-position model. The record is from RNAcentral. Lineage: Eukaryota; Metazoa; Chordata; Actinopteri; Cypriniformes; Cyprinidae.